This 739-nucleotide ribosomal RNA is filed under the name uncultured bacterium. Its description in RNAcentral is "bacterial SSU rRNA". It matches the Rfam family "Bacterial small subunit ribosomal RNA", at positions 747 to 1483 of the family's 1533-position model. The record is from RNAcentral.
UCAUGCACGAAAGCGUGGGUAGCAAACAGGAUUAGAUACCCUGGUAGUCCACGCCCUAAACGAUGUCAACUAGGUGUUGGGUGGGUAAAACCAUUUAGUACCGGAGCUAACGCGUGAAGUUGACCGCCUGGGGAGUACGGCCGCAAGGUUAAAACUCAAAGGAAUUGACGGGGACCCGCACAGGCGGUGGAUGAUGUGGAUUAAUUCGAUGCAACGCGAAAAACCUUACCUACCCCUUGACAUGUCCAGAAGCUCUUAGAGAUUUGAGUGUGCCCGAAAGGGAACUGGAACACAGGUGCUGCAUGGCUGUCGUCAGCUCGUGUCGUGAGAUGUUGGGUUAAGUCCCGCAACGAGCGCAACCCUUGUCGUUAAUUGCCAUCAUUCAGUUGGGCACUUUAACGAGACUGCCGGUGACAAACCGGAGGAGGGUGGGGAUGACGUCAAGUCCUCAUGGCCCUUAUGGGUAGGGCUUCACACGUCAUACAAUGGUCGGUACAAAGGGUUGCCAACCCGCGAGGGGGAGCUAAUCCCAGAAAGCCGAUCGUAGUCCGGAUCGUAGGCUGCAACUCGCCUGCGUGAAGUCGGAAUCGCUAGUAAUCGUGGAUCAGCAUGUCACGGUGAAUACGUUCCCGGGUCUUGUACACACCGCCCGUCACACCAUGGGAGCGGGUUCCGCCAGAAGUAGGUAGCCUAACCGCAAGGAGGGCGCUUACCACGGCGGGGUUCGUGACUGGGGUGG